Molecule: long non-coding RNA, 1576 nt
Filed under: Carica papaya (papaya)
Lineage: Eukaryota; Viridiplantae; Streptophyta; Magnoliopsida; Brassicales; Caricaceae
Description: long non-coding RNA (CPAP_LNC007354)
Source: RNAcentral
AUAUUGUUUAAACAAAAACAAAACAUAUGAAGCGUCAUCCUUCAAGUUUUAAUUUUUGCAUCGGAUUUGUUAGAAGUGCUAAAAAUUUCACAAUGAAGAGUCUGUGAUUUGAGUGAAUGGAAGGCCAAAAAGACAUGGCCUCUUCUUAGAAGUUUUAUGAGGACGAUUUACUUUUUCUGCUUAUUGAAAAAAGAAGUGAAGUUUUGAGAGAUUUGUUCCUCUAGAUACAGAGGAACUUGACUGCUUAGAAAUGGACUAAUUAGGAGAACAUGUUCUGCCUGAUGCAGCAGAUGCUCCAGGAUCAGAAGCAAGUGAAAGUUAACAGAUAAAAUCAGAUUGCAUGGUGCUUACAUAUGAAGGAAGUCAAAACAAAAAGAAUUGAAAAAGAUAACCACUUUUAUAUUCAUCAUUUUAAGUACUCGUAAUAACAUUUUAUGUAUGAGAUUUAGGUUAUGUUGGGAACAGAUCUAAAAUAUUUAUGGGAUUUAUUUAAAAUCCAUAUUUAUUUCCAUUAAGAUGUUAUGUAAUCUCUAGUAGGACAAAAAUUGAUAGAAUUUGAAUGCCACUUUUCUAAUUUCACGUGGAAUUUCAUGUUAGGUAAAGUUUUAUUAUUUCAGCCAGUAUUUUCAUUCUCUUUGGUAAAAUAAGUGUAAAUUUGCAAACAAAUUUCAUAAAAUUUCAAUAUUUGCUCCAAACAUAGUCUUGACUGGAUGAACAACAUGAGAAACUAUAAGAAGAUAAAAUAUGCAAUGAUAACUGACCUGGAGUACCCUGCUUGUUGCUCCAAGCUUGAUUCCCAAAAGACUGCUCUUUCCAUGAUCCAAUCCCAUCAGAGCUUGAGGUGCUCCUCCCUGCCAACUGAAACUUGAAAAAGAAGACUUCGGAAGAUUGGCCCAGACAUCCGAUGACAGAACUCAGGAUUUUAUCGCAUCGAAUUACCCUUUCAAGAGAAGAAUUUGUAGGACAAAAAACAAGGAGGAACAAGAACAAUAUAGAGAGAAAAGAACCCCAUCUUUUCAGUUCAACAAGCAGAAGUUGAGCCAGUUUCGUCAACCUCCAAACAAGAACAAGCAGGGCAUCUUACCCUUUAGCUCUUGAUUGGUCCUAUAAACUCUCUCUAUAGUGGGCAUUCUAGCUUAUAAUUUUCUAUACCAUAAAGACAACCAAUAAAGAUUUCUCUAGAGCAACAUAUACAUAUAAUAAAAGCUUUAUUCUAGCUACAAGCACUAGAGAAAAGAUUAUUUCCAGCUUGGACUGGAAUGAAAUCUUCCAUCCUUCUUUCAAUUCUUAAGUCAAUAUGUUCUCAGAAUAAAAAAGAAGCUCAAUUACUAUAUGUCUGAAGUAAAACCACAAAAUGGAAAAGUGCCACCCAAUUAGCCAAGAACAAAAAAGAGAAGAAAUUCAAACUCUGGUAAUUAACAUAAUAGAAAAUCAUGAUAUCAUAUAUAUAAUAUACAAAUACAUAUAUUCAUAAAUACGUAUAUAAAAACAUGAAUAUGUAUGUGUGUUGAAGUAAGCAUGGUUGGUGUAUGGUGGUGUAUGUAUAAAGCUGUGAACAUCAAAUGUACAUACCGUA